GCCGGGAUGCUGGAAUUGGAAUACAGGCCGGUCUCAAAAACCGGUGGUCUUUUGGGACCAUGAGGGUUCAACUCCCUCUCCCGGCA
Molecule: transfer RNA, 86 nt
Filed under: Candidatus Omnitrophota bacterium
Lineage: Bacteria; Pseudomonadati; Candidatus Omnitrophota
Description: tRNA-Leu
Rfam family: tRNA
About the family: Transfer RNA (tRNA) molecules are approximately 80 nucleotides in length. Their secondary structure includes four short double-helical elements and three loops (D, anti-codon, and T loops).
Source: RNAcentral